Molecule: transfer RNA, 65 nt
Filed under: Dolophilodes bellatulus
Lineage: Eukaryota; Metazoa; Arthropoda; Insecta; Trichoptera; Philopotamidae
Description: tRNA-Pro
Source: RNAcentral
CAAAGAAUAGUUUAUUUAAAAUAAUAAUUUUGGAGAUUAUAGAUAAAAUUUAUUUUUUUCUUUGA